This is a long non-coding RNA of Manacus vitellinus (golden-collared manakin), 608 nucleotides long. RefSeq lists it as uncharacterized. The transcript has 5 exons. The record is from RefSeq and is a predicted model, not a curated record. Lineage: Eukaryota; Metazoa; Chordata; Aves; Passeriformes; Pipridae.
AAAGGCAAGACUGGAAGAGCGAAUCUUUUUAGAACCAAAUGUUUUGGAAUCUUAAAGCUACCAAAUCUGGAAAAGGACCCUGGAAAAAAGAGAGGAGAAAGAUUUUGCAGACUGUUAGUUGCUGUCAUCUCCCUGAGAUUUCCCUGCCUCGCAGAGUACAGAGGAUUCCCCCCAGAGAUGCUGGAGCAGCAGCAUGGGAUGGUCAGGCUGGUCCUGUGUUGAGCUGUCAUCCUGGAUACUUGAUUUAAUCAGUGAUUCCUAAGGAUAGUGACCUGCCACUAGAUGAGAAGAGAUUGAGAUGAUCGUAGUUGACACAGGAAAAGAAUUGGAUCUAUGUCCUGCUUGAAAGAAGAAUUUAUCAGAUUGCCUCUGAAUAUGCAUUAGAAGACCAGCGGAGUUCAGCCCUUUCUGGAGAUGCCUUUCCAGCUCGCUGCAGGAACAACAGCCCUGGUGUAAUUCCAGGAAGGAAGCAGAACCCAUGGAGUCAGCACGGCAGGGACGUGCCUUGCUGUUCACCAUACAUUCAAGCAGGGGCAGGGGAGAGUCCCUCUCAGCCAGAGUGUCCUGCAGCCUUCAGACAAGUGAAAUAUCAGUUAUAGAACAGCAAC